Molecule: ribosomal RNA, 254 nt
Filed under: uncultured bacterium
Lineage: Bacteria
Description: partial 16S ribosomal RNA
Rfam family: Bacterial small subunit ribosomal RNA
Source: RNAcentral
CACGUAGGGCGCAAGCGUUUGUCCGGAAUUAUUGGGCGUAAAGAGCUCGUAGGUGGUUUGCUGCGUCCGCUGUGAAAACCCAAGGCUUAACCUUGGGCUUGCAGUGGAUACGGGCAGACUAGAGGUAGGUAGGGGAGAAUGGAAUUCCCGGUGUAGCGGUGAAAUGCGCAGAUAUCGGGAGGAACACCGGUGGCGAAGGCGGUUCUCUGGGCCUUACCUGACACUGAGGAGCGAAAGCGUGGGGAGCGAACAGG